ACGGGGCCCGCACAAGCGGUGGAGCAUGUUGGUUUAAUUCGAAGCAACGCGAAGAACCUUACCAGGUUCUUGACAUCCGAUGCUUAUUUCUAGAGAUAGAAAGUUACUUCGGUACAUCGGUGACAGGUGGUGCAUGGUUGUCGUCAGCUCGUGUCGUGAGAUGUUGGGUUAAGUCCCGCAACGAGCGCAACCCUUAUCGUUAGUUGCUACCAUUAAGUUGAGCACUCUAGCGAGACUGCCCGGGUUAGCCGGGAGGAAGGUGGGGAUGACGUCAAAUCAUCAUGCCCCUUAUGUCUAGGGCUACACACGUGCUACAAUGGUGAGGACAAAGAGACGCAAGACCGCGAGGUGGAGCAAAUCUCACAAACCUCAUCCCAGUUCGGAUUGCAGGCUGAAACUCGCCUGCAUGAAGCCGGAGUUGCUAGUAAUCGCGAAUCAGCAUGUCGCGGUGAAUACGUUCCCGGGCCUU
Molecule: ribosomal RNA, 469 nt
Filed under: uncultured Clostridium sp.
Lineage: Bacteria; Bacillati; Bacillota; Clostridia; Eubacteriales; Clostridiaceae
Description: bacterial SSU rRNA
Rfam family: Bacterial small subunit ribosomal RNA
Source: RNAcentral